RNAcentral lists this ribosomal RNA (495 nucleotides) under uncultured bacterium. RNAcentral describes it as "partial 16S ribosomal RNA". It matches the Rfam family "Bacterial small subunit ribosomal RNA", at positions 28 to 507 of the family's 1533-position model. The record is from RNAcentral.
GACGAACGCUGGCGGCGUGCCUAAUACAUGCAAGUAGAACGCUGAAGGAGGAGCUUGCUUCUCUGGAUGAGUUGCGAACGGGUGAGUAACGCGUAGGUAACCUGCCUGGUAGCGGGGGAUAACUAUUGGAAACGAUAGCUAAUACCGCAUAAGAGUAGAUGUCGCAUGACAUUUGCUUAAAAGGUGCAAUUGCAUCACUACCAGAUGGACCUGCGUUGUAUUAGCUAGUUGGUGAGGUAACGGCUCACCAAGGCAACGAUACAUAGCCGACCUGAGAGGGUGACCGGCCACACUGGGACUGAGACACGGCCCAGACUCCUACGGGAGGCAGCAGUAGGGAAUCUUCGGCAAUGGACGGAAGUCUGACCGAGCAACGCCGCGUGAGUGAAGAAGGUUUUCGGAUCGUAAAGCUCUGUUGUAAGAGAAGAACGAGUGUGAGAGUGGAAAGUUCACACUGUGACGGUAUCUUACCAGAAAGGGACGGCUAACUACGUG